UAUGGAGAGUUUGAUCCUGGCUCAGGACGAACGCUGGCGGCGUGCCUAAUACAUGCAAGUCGAGCGGACGAUUCAAAAGCUUGCUUUUGAAUCGUUAGCGGCGGACGGGUGAGUAACACGUGGGCAACCUGCCCUGUAGACGGGGAUAACACCGAGAAAUCGGUGCUAAUACCGGAUAACACGAAAUGUCGCAUGACGUUUCGUUGAAAGACGGCGCAAGCUGUCGCUACAGGAUGGGCCCGCGGCGCAUUAGCUAGUUGGUGAGGUAACGGCUCACCAAGGCGACGAUGCGUAGCCGACCUGAGAGGGUGAUCGGCCACACUGGGACUGAGACACGGCCCAGACUCCUACGGGAGGCAGCAGUAGGGAAUCUUCCGCAAUGGACGAAAGUCUGACGGAGCAACGCCGCGUGAGCGAAGAAGGCCUUCGGG
Molecule: ribosomal RNA, 431 nt
Filed under: Anoxybacillus flavithermus AK1
Lineage: Bacteria; Bacillati; Bacillota; Bacilli; Caryophanales; Anoxybacillaceae
Description: bacterial SSU rRNA
Rfam family: Bacterial small subunit ribosomal RNA
Source: RNAcentral